AACACAUUUUUUUAUUCUUAUUGUUCAUAAUCCGUCAAAAAUUAUUUAUAAUAUUUUAAAUUUAUAGAUCAUGAACUAUCAUCACAAAAGGCAUUAGGAAAUAAAUCAACAAGUGAAAACAACCACUUAAAAGUUCAAAUUAACUUCCAAAAGUGCAACGAAAGCAAUUGAUGAAGAAAAUAGUAAACAUUCUUCCACUUCAGAUGACGAAAGUUGUAACCUUGCAACAACGAAAAA
This is a long non-coding RNA of Agrilus planipennis (emerald ash borer), 237 nucleotides long. RefSeq lists it as uncharacterized. The transcript has 2 exons. The record is from RefSeq and is a predicted model, not a curated record. NCBI's taxonomy places the organism in Eukaryota, Metazoa, Arthropoda, Insecta, Coleoptera, Buprestidae.